RNAcentral lists this non-coding RNA (29 nucleotides) under Mus musculus (house mouse). The record is from RNAcentral. Lineage: Eukaryota; Metazoa; Chordata; Mammalia; Rodentia; Muridae.
UGCAAUGAUGGGCAAGGUGUCGAAGUUGU